UACGUAGGGCGCAAGCGUUUGUCCGGAAUUAUUGGGCGUAAAGAGCUCGUAGGCGGUUUGUCGCGUCUGCUGUGAAAACCUGAGGCUCAACCUCGGGCUUGCAGUGGGUACGGGCAGACUAGAGUGCGGUAGGGGUGACUGGAAUUCCUGGUGUAGCGGUGGAAUGCGCAGAUAUCGAGGAGGAACACCGAUGGCGAAGGCAGGUCACUGGGCCGCAACUGACGCUGAGGAGCGAAAGCAUGGGGAGCGAACAGG
Molecule: ribosomal RNA, 255 nt
Filed under: uncultured bacterium
Lineage: Bacteria
Description: partial 16S ribosomal RNA
Rfam family: Bacterial small subunit ribosomal RNA
Source: RNAcentral